This 206-nucleotide long non-coding RNA is filed under the name Phoenix dactylifera (date palm). Its description in RNAcentral is "long non-coding RNA (PDAC_LNC011286)". The record is from RNAcentral. Lineage: Eukaryota; Viridiplantae; Streptophyta; Magnoliopsida; Arecales; Arecaceae.
UAUGAUUAACAAAAUUCCAAUAAAUCCACAAUUAAUUUAGUAAUUCAAAUAGACAAAUCCAACAUGUCCAAAUAAACAAAUUAAUUCAAUUACAAGAUCUUCAAAUGUUCAUAAAUAAAAGAUAACCUACUUCUAACUAUCUAGCAGUCUGACUCCAUAUCCAUCCACUUCUCGUCCCACCCAAUGGACUCUAUAAAUCCAGUGCC